RNAcentral lists this ribosomal RNA (377 nucleotides) under uncultured bacterium. RNAcentral describes it as "bacterial SSU rRNA". It matches the Rfam family "Bacterial small subunit ribosomal RNA", at positions 521 to 896 of the family's 1533-position model. The record is from RNAcentral.
UAAGACGGAAGGUGCAAGCGUUGCUCGGAAUCACUGGGCGUAAAGGGUGCGUAGGCGGCUUCUUAAGUCUGGUGUGAAAGCCCAGGGCUCAGCUCUGGAAGUGCACUAGAAACUGGGAAGCUUGAGUACCGGAGGGGAGAGUGGAAUUCCUGGUGUAGCGGUGAAAUGCGUAGAUAUCAGGAGGAAUACCGGUGGCGAAAGCGACUCUCUGGACGGUUACUGACGCUGAGGCACGAAAGCGUGGGGAGCAAACAGGAUUAGAUACCCUGGUAGUCCACGCCCUAAACGAUGAUGACUAGUUGUUGGAGGAGUUAAAUCCUUUAGUAACGCAGCUAACGCGUGAAGUCAUCCGCCUGGGGAGUACGGUCGCAAGAUUA